CUUUAAAAAUCUGGAUCAAGCUGAAAAUUGAAACGACACACAGUCAAUGUGUGUUCGAGUCUCUCAAAUUUUCGCGACACGAAAAUGUUUUACGAAACAUCUUCGG
This 106-nucleotide small RNA is filed under the name Klebsiella aerogenes. RNAcentral describes it as "Salmonella enterica Typhi npcRNA 44". It matches the Rfam family "Salmonella enterica Typhi npcRNA 44". Lineage: Bacteria; Pseudomonadati; Pseudomonadota; Gammaproteobacteria; Enterobacterales; Enterobacteriaceae. The record is from RNAcentral.